Molecule: transfer RNA, 76 nt
Filed under: Microbacterium esteraromaticum
Lineage: Bacteria; Bacillati; Actinomycetota; Actinomycetes; Micrococcales; Microbacteriaceae
Also listed under: 6 other names
Description: tRNA-His
Rfam family: tRNA
About the family: Transfer RNA (tRNA) molecules are approximately 80 nucleotides in length.
Source: RNAcentral
GCGGUUAUGGUGAAAUGGUCAACACACCUGAUUGUGGUCCAGGCAUGUAUGGGUUCGAAUCCCAUUAAUCGCCCCA